RNAcentral lists this ribosomal RNA (377 nucleotides) under uncultured bacterium. RNAcentral's name for it is "bacterial SSU rRNA". It matches the Rfam family "Bacterial small subunit ribosomal RNA", at positions 521 to 896 of the family's 1533-position model. The record is from RNAcentral.
UAAUACGUAGAGUGCAAACGUUGUUCGGAAUCACUGGGCAUAAAGAGCUCGUAGGCGGCCGAAAAAGUCGGUUGUGAAAGCCCCUGGCUCAACCAGGGAAUUGCAGCCGAAACUGCUUGGCUUGAGUGUGAGAGAGGAGAGUGGAACUUCCAGUGGAGCGGUGAAAUGCGUAGAUAUUGGAAGGAACGCCAGUGGCGAAAGCGACUCUCUGGCUCACUACUGACGCUGAGGAGCGAAAGCUAGGGGAGCGAACGGGAUUAGAUACCCCGGUAGUCCUAGCCGUAAACGAUGGGCACUAAGUGGAGGGAUCCCUACCGAUCUCUCUUCUGUAGCAAAUGUAUUAAGUGCCCCGCCUGGGGAGUAUGGUCGCAAGGCUG